This 106-nucleotide small nuclear RNA is filed under the name Chinchilla lanigera (long-tailed chinchilla). Lineage: Eukaryota; Metazoa; Chordata; Mammalia; Rodentia; Chinchillidae. The record is from RNAcentral.
GUGCUCGCUUGGGUAGCACAGAUACUAAAAUUGGAACCAUACAGAGAAGAGUAAUACAGCCCCUAGACAAGGAUGACAGGCAAUAUGUAAAGUGUUCCAUAUUUUU